Molecule: long non-coding RNA, 367 nt
Filed under: Amborella trichopoda
Lineage: Eukaryota; Viridiplantae; Streptophyta; Magnoliopsida; Amborellales; Amborellaceae
Description: long non-coding RNA (ATRI_LNC005144)
Source: RNAcentral
GAGAAAAUGAGAGAGAUGAUGAUUCUGAGGCCACCCUAUCCCAACCAUAUUAUUCACAUAUCGAGUCCCAACAGCAACAGUGUAGGGAUGAGCACGACAGUGCAGGUGAGCAUGAAGGAUGGACAAGCUUCAGGGAUUUUAGAUUGGGAACACAACAAAACACUAACACUCAGGGAUUUGGGAAUAGUCAGACGCCUGCUAAUAUCGAUGAUUCGUUUUUAGAUCGAAUCAAUGAAUUGUUAAACGAAUUCAAUCAAUGGCACCAGCGUAACCAAGAAGAACAAUAACGUCGUCUAUCAUUUUAUUUUUAGAUCAUAUGUUACUAAUUUUAUGCUUUAUUGUAGUCCAUGUAUGUUGAUAUACUUAU